Long non-coding RNA from Rosa chinensis, 2221 nucleotides. RefSeq lists it as uncharacterized. The record is from RefSeq and is a predicted model, not a curated record. Lineage: Eukaryota; Viridiplantae; Streptophyta; Magnoliopsida; Rosales; Rosaceae. The transcript has 5 exons.
UGUGGGUUUUGUAAUUUGGGGGUUUUUAAUUGAGAGACCCAGAAUUUCAUAUCGAAGACCAGCUAGAACACGAGCUCGGCUCUCCUCUCUCUCUCUCUCUCUCUCUCUCGCAGCCCCCAAACACCGAUCUUUCUCAAUUUUAGACUCCGCCUUCUUAUUCUCUCUUCUCUCUCUCAUAACUCUCGAAAACCCAGACCCCAAACACCGAAAUCCGAAUUUCAACUCCUUCGUCAUCUGGAUCCUUCUCAAUCCCGCUCCAUUCCUUUUUAAUCCCUAGCCCAAAACCUCAAUACCCAAAACAAAAACCCUAACUCAGCCCCAUAUAUCUCCCAUCUUGUAUUUCUUUAGAAUUUGGCUUUAUCAGUUCAUGUUCUCUGUUUGUGAAUUUGAAGACUUGGUUAAUUGAGGUCUGACUCCAUUUCAUGACAGAUUACCGGAGAAGUAGAUCAAAUCUUGGUUUGCAAAUCCCCAAUCUGAGCAUGAUUCUUAACAUUCUCGCCACUCUGGUUUGCCUUGUUUUGGACAGUUUUCGAAAUGUGAUUCUGUUAAGGUUUUCGAUGGGUGCUAGGUUCAGACAAUUUUCAGGUUAUCAAAACCCUUUGAGUAUAUUUGGUUUUGGGUAUACUGUAUUUUAAGAUUUCAAAAUUAUCUGGGCUACAUUUGAUGUGGGAAACCCCAAAUGAUUAGUUUUGGGCAACAAAGGACCCUCCACUUCUCUGUGUAUGUUUCCCCUUCCCUAGUGGUCUAUCUCAAUGUGAGUGAGGUGAACAUCUCAUAUUAUUGCUUUAGCUUCAGCAUUCUUUGUUCAUACAAUAUAUAUCUGCAAUUUGAAGCCAAUUAACUUCAAGCAAAACCAUGAUUGCAGUAGAUUGGACGUUGGUUUACAAUUGGUUUCAUCAAAUUUUUUUCGAAUAACACAUGUUAAGACUGCAUGUUUUCUUUGUAAAUUUUUCUUCGGGUUUUUGUUGGAAUAGAACAUAUUAAGACUACAAGUAUUAGGAUUAAAAGUGUUUAUCUUUGAAAAUUGAUGGUCAGGAAUUCAGAAGCUUAUAAGAAUUCAAGCUGCAAAUAAGGAAAGGAUAUGUACCUAUUCAUGUAAUUCAAAGCUGAAUAUGUACCUAUUCACUAUAGUAUCAGUGCUUAUUGUCAUUUACUGUUCAGUGAGUGGCUAAAGGAUAGGAUGAUAUUCAACUUGAUUGAAUUUACAUGAGAAACAUAAGAUAGGUGCUAUUGUGGCAAAAAGCUAACACUUUUUGGGUUACACAGCGCAUGACUGUGCUAGCAGCUUUAAGCUUUUUACAGGUAUAAACUUGGUUAAUAUCUGUCUAAAUUUGGUUUAAAAAUUUAUCUUUGAUUAGAUAGUUGAUAUUGAAGGAUGGUUUUUCAAGAUAUACAAUACUAGUAUUUAACCGAUUCACUCAUCUCUGCAUUAUCAUAUGCAGGUUCUUACCAAGGGUUAACAGAAGGAUCGAUGUACUUAAAGCUGCUGGUGCAUUGUUAGUUUUGUGUGUUUUUUUUUUUGGUUGAAAAAUACAAGGCUGCUAAUCAACAGACAAUAUUUACAUUGGAAGAGGUAUGUUUAGAGUCUCGCUACAUUACCUGUGUAUAGAUGCCUAUCCUUUCCUGCAUUCACGUGAAUUAUGUUUCAAUUGAAACAAGCCAUUUUGGUUUAUGUUGUUGUCUUAGUUGCUGGAAUGAGACCAUAUAUAAUAUUGAUUCCUUAGGACAGAUGAAGCGCUACAUAUCCAUGUCACUUUCCUUUUUUCGUCUAAUAAUUGGAUGGCUAUGACAAUUACAAUGGUGCUAGAGUGAACUUAGAAUAUUGGCCCAAGAUAUGAUAUGCCAGAUCAAAAUAAUUCAAUUCCCUCUCAGGUGAUUUCUGCAAAAUAUAGUGCUCUGUUGUCAUUGUUAAUCAAAUAUUGAUUCUGUAUAUGCUUGUACUGGAGGUAGAUACUUAUGCUUCUAAUACAAGUCUGCUUCUUCUUAUGUGCCGCCUGAAGUGGCAUGCUUUAGUUGGAGGCAACUUACAUACUAAAGAAUCAAUUACUUGGUAGUUUUACAUCUGUACAUGAGAGGAGGAGGUUGUUGAUCAAUUGGGAACUAGCAGUUCUUCAAGACUUAGUUGGUUUCAACAUUUCAGUAAAUGUUGUUAGAGAACUAGUUCUGUUGAUGUAAUGACUUUGUCGGAUAUAUGGAUGAAUGUAUCGGAUUUUUACAUAAA